ACGCUCAUGCACGAAAGCGUGGGUAUCGAACAGGAAUUAGAUACCCUGGUAGUCCACGCGGUAAACGAUGAUAACUAGUUAUUCGGCUAAAAUUGGUAGCUGAGUGACCGAGCGAAAGCGUUAAGUUAUCCACCUGGGGAGUACGCCGGCAACGGUGAAACUCAAAGGAAUUGACGGGGGCCCGCACAAGCGGAGGAACAUGUGGUUUAAUUCGAUGAUACGCGAGGAACCUUACCCAGGCUCAAACGCAUCGUGCUACGCCCUGAAAGGGGCGGUUCUUCGGACGCGAUGCGAGGUGCUGCAUGGUUGUCGUCAGCUCGUGCCGUGAGGUGUCGGCUUAAGUGCCAUAACGAGCGCAACCCCCAUCUUCAGUUGCCCCCGGGUGAAGCCGGGCACUCUGGAGAGACUGCCGGCGCAAGCUGUGAGGAAGGCGGGGAUGACGUCAAAUCAGCACGGCCCUUACGUCCGGGGCGACACACGUGUUACAAUGGCGGGGCUACAGAGGGGAGCCAGGCGGUGACGCCGAGCUGAUCCCGAAAACCCGUCUCAGUUCGGAUCGGAGUCUGCAACCCGACUCCGUGAAGCUGGAUUCGCUAGUAA
Molecule: ribosomal RNA, 600 nt
Filed under: uncultured bacterium
Lineage: Bacteria
Description: bacterial SSU rRNA
Rfam family: Bacterial small subunit ribosomal RNA
Source: RNAcentral